Molecule: long non-coding RNA, 436 nt
Filed under: Sorghum bicolor (sorghum)
Lineage: Eukaryota; Viridiplantae; Streptophyta; Magnoliopsida; Poales; Poaceae
Description: long non-coding RNA (SBIC_LNC007946)
Source: RNAcentral
GCCGUCACAUCAGUAAAACCACCACUACAACUAUCCAAAGUGCGAAACAAACUUUUUAAAGUUAAUUGAACACUGUAAAAAAAAGUUUUAUAGUUUAGGAAGAAAAUUUAAACGACCGUUAUAGUUGAGAGAAAUGAAUUAGACUUUGCUCAAUCUCACAUCCCUAACCAAUUAUGGCCCGCAUAACAACCAGACCAAAAUGAGGUGGGCCAUGCAUUUCUCUUCUUGCCACCCAAGCGGCUAGCUACCCGUAACAUUAUAUAAAAUAAAAUAAAAGUUGGAUGAAACAUAGUCAUUUCAUUGUAUGAUUUAUAUAGAGUUAGCAAUCGUGUUAAGAGAUGAAACUUAUUUUUCUUAUAUGACAGCUUAUUAAAUGCAAACAAAACUCAUACUGAAACUGACCUUGGUCCUCUAGUCCUCGCUAAGACCACGGGAA